UGAUCGUUUCAUAUGAUCUUGUUUGAGUUUACGAAUGAUGUUUCGUUAAAUAUUGUCAAGCCUUUAUUUUACGAAAUUUAUUACGCAAACUGUUUUCAAGUCAAUUUUACGAAAGUUGUUUCGUAAAAUGUUGCCGAGUUAAAUCUUACGAAAAUUACUUUGUAAAAUGUCGUCGAGUUUAAUUUUACGAAAGUUUAUUUGUAAAAUAUAGUCGAGUUUAAUCUUUCGAAUUGUUUCGUACAAAGUCGUCGAGUUUAAAUUUACAAAUAUUGUUUCAAAAAAUA
Molecule: long non-coding RNA, 284 nt
Filed under: Brassica napus (rape)
Lineage: Eukaryota; Viridiplantae; Streptophyta; Magnoliopsida; Brassicales; Brassicaceae
Description: long non-coding RNA (BNAP_LNC017585)
Source: RNAcentral